This 417-nucleotide ribosomal RNA is filed under the name Triticum aestivum (bread wheat). Its description in RNAcentral is "partial small subunit ribosomal RNA". Lineage: Eukaryota; Viridiplantae; Streptophyta; Magnoliopsida; Poales; Poaceae. The record is from RNAcentral.
AUGGCUGAAAAGAUAAAUGACCAUGUUCUUUCAUUGCUGCCUUUGGAUGACAGAGAGUACUUAAGCUUUGAUUCCGUAGGAAACUCUUCAGAUGGCGUACGAAAUAUAGAUGCUUUCUAUCAUGUUGAGUGCCUGAACAAGAUUAAGAUUAACAAUUUCCCAUGGCAUAGGUUGGUCCUUAAAGCAGGUGUGCCCAUUAUGCUACUUAGAAAUUUAAACCAGUCAGCGGGCCUGUGCGAUGGCACUCGACUUAUAGUAACAAAGCUUGCUGACAAAGUAAUUGAAGCGGUUGUUAUCACUGGCUCUAAUGUUGGCGACGUCGUUUACAUCCCAAGAAUAUGUUUGACAUCCAAGCAACCUAAAUGGCCAUUUAAUUGCAUAGGAACCAAUUUCCUGAUAGGGUUUGCUAUGCUAUGA